GAGUUUGAUCGUGGCUCAGAACGAACGCUGGCGGCAUGCCUAACACAUGCAAGUCGAACGCUCGUAGCAAUACGAGAGUGGCGGACGGGUGAGAAACGCGUGGGUACCUGCCCUGUAGUACGGAAUAACCGCGGGAAACUGCGGCUAAUACCGUAUACGCCCCAAGGGGAAGAUUUAUCGCUAUAGGAGGGGCCCGCGUCGGAUUAGCUAGUUGGUGAGGUAACGGCCCACCAAGGCGAUGAUCUGUAGCUGGUCUGAGAGGAUGAUCAGCCACACUGGGACUGAGACACGGCCCAGACUCCUACGGGAGGCAGCAGUGGGGAAUAUUGGACAAUGGGCGAAAGCCUGAUCCAGCAAUGCCGCGUGAGUGAUGAAGGCCUUAGGGUUGUAAAGCUCUUUUACCCGGGAUGAUAAUGACAGUACCGGGAGAAUAAGCCCCGGCUAACUCCGUGCCAGCCGCCGCAGUAAU
RNAcentral lists this ribosomal RNA (469 nucleotides) under uncultured Alphaproteobacteria bacterium. RNAcentral's name for it is "bacterial SSU rRNA". It matches the Rfam family "Bacterial small subunit ribosomal RNA", at positions 9 to 524 of the family's 1533-position model. Lineage: Bacteria; Pseudomonadati; Pseudomonadota; Alphaproteobacteria. The record is from RNAcentral.